GACAGCUGGUAGAAGUGAUGGAGUCAACGGAAAAUGACUACUUCCAAUCACAUGGCAAGCCAAUGUGGGAUGUACAUAGGUGUUCCAGUUCUCCUGUCCCCCAGGAAGCAGGUCCUAAGCAUCUCCUGGGGAAAUCAAGUCAGGGAAGAAAUGACAUGGCCCUCAGAAGAACAAAGAAUAUGUCUCAGAAGCAGG
This is a long non-coding RNA of Sarcophilus harrisii (Tasmanian devil), 195 nucleotides long. RefSeq lists it as uncharacterized. The transcript is spliced from 2 exons. Lineage: Eukaryota; Metazoa; Chordata; Mammalia; Dasyuromorphia; Dasyuridae. The record is from RefSeq and is a predicted model, not a curated record.